Molecule: long non-coding RNA, 514 nt
Organism: Polypterus senegalus (gray bichir)
Lineage: Eukaryota; Metazoa; Chordata; Cladistia; Polypteriformes; Polypteridae
Exons: 4
Source: RefSeq, a predicted model, not a curated record
GUCAGGGGGUUCUUUCCCACAUGGUUUCAUGGAACGGGAGUACAGAUACAGUACUAGAGUACAUCAGAGGUCAUCCUGAUAUCAUCUCUUAAGCACCAGUCUCAGCCUUUAUCUUUAGAGUUCAUCAUUGAAGUUUUUUUUGAGUGCAUUACACUGCCUGCAUUGUUUGAAAAGAAGCUUGGCCCCUUACACAGAUGUAAAACAAGAGGGUUAGCUACCUGCUGGAUUGUAUGCCUUCUAACAUCCUGAAGGAGCAUUGCAUGUUUUCAUGAAUGCGUGAUGUGUCUCUCUAUUAACAGUACCGCUUAUAACUCAUUUUGGUUACCUGGGACACAUACAUUGUGGGAUGACUUCUGUGCUACCACCUGUCUUGCUGCAAAGUUGCUUUGUGUCUGGCCUUAAUAUUGAUUGUGUGAAGUUUCAGUCCUGUACCAUUCUAGUGCCAUCCAUGUCCAGCUCACUUGAGCAUCAGCAUCACUGAUUUCUAGUGUCCUUCAUCCUUUCUUCUGCGCCU